AUGGUCUGGGUACCGCUUGAGGAGAUCAUUUGGCAGGGACUGCUCGGUGAACCUCCAGUCCCCGUAGAUGGCGGAGGACAUCUCCACGGCGUACUUCCCCGGGUACAUGGUCCUCUCCAGGAUGCCGCCGGCGUUGAGCAGUAUGCUCCUUGCCAGCGUGUUGAUCUGCAUCGUGUCCUUGAAGUGCGGCUCCAGGAGCUUGUGGAUGGGGUGCAUGGCGCUCAGCUGCCUCCUGGUCGCGAUGAUGAACGGCUCCACCGCCGCGUGCGUGAACAACCUUCAUUUGGCCACCCGUGUCAGUGUGUGGAGCUCUGUUCAGAUGCUGCUGAUUACGACUAG
This 339-nucleotide ribosomal RNA is filed under the name Triticum aestivum (bread wheat). RNAcentral describes it as "partial small subunit ribosomal RNA". Lineage: Eukaryota; Viridiplantae; Streptophyta; Magnoliopsida; Poales; Poaceae. The record is from RNAcentral.